CAGUCGCCGCGGUAAUACGAGGGGGGCAAGCGUUGUUCGGAAUUAUUGGGCGUAAAGGGUGCGUAGGCGGUUUGGCAAGUUUGGUGUGAAAUCUUCGGGCUCAACUCGAAGUCUGCAUCGAAAACUGCCGGGCUUGAGUAUGGGAGAGGUGAGUGGAAUUUCCGGUGUAGCGGUGAAAUGCGUAGAUAUCGGAAGGAACACCUGUGGCGAAAGCGGCUCACUGGACCAUAACUGACGCUGAUGCACGAAAGCUAGGGGAGCAAACAGGAUUAGAUACCCGGGUAGUCCCUGUCUCUUAUAC
RNAcentral lists this ribosomal RNA (301 nucleotides) under uncultured bacterium. RNAcentral describes it as "partial 16S ribosomal RNA". It matches the Rfam family "Bacterial small subunit ribosomal RNA", at positions 509 to 807 of the family's 1533-position model. The record is from RNAcentral.